RNAcentral lists this ribosomal RNA (750 nucleotides) under uncultured Peredibacter sp. Its description in RNAcentral is "bacterial SSU rRNA". It matches the Rfam family "Bacterial small subunit ribosomal RNA", at positions 9 to 755 of the family's 1533-position model. The record is from RNAcentral. Lineage: Bacteria; Pseudomonadati; Bdellovibrionota; Bacteriovoracia; Bacteriovoracales; Bacteriovoracaceae.
GAGUUUGAUCCUGGCUCAGAACGAACGCUGGUGGCAUGCCUAAUACAUGCAAGUCGAACGAGAAAGCUACUUCGGUGGUUAUUACAGUGGCGCACGGGUGAGUAACGCGUAGAUGAUGUGCCUUUUAGUGGGGGACAACCUCGUGAAAACGGGGCUAAUACCGCAUAAGCUUGGUGAAAUUGAAAAAACCAAGGAAAGGGGGCUUCGGCUCUCGCUAGAAGAUCGGUCUGCGUAGCAUUAGCUUGUUGGUGGGGUAAUGGCCUACCAAGGCUACGAUGCUUAACUGGUCUGAGAGGAUGAUCAGUCACACUGGAACUGAGACACGGUCCAGACUCCUACGGGAGGCAGCAGUAGGGAAUAUUGCGCAAUGGGGGAAACCCUGACGCAGCAAUGCCACGUGAGUGAGGAAUGCCUUCGGGUUGUAAAGCUCUGUCCUAUAGGAAGAACUGCCUUGUGGUUAAUACCCACUUGGUUUGACGGUACUAUAGAAGAAAGCACCGGCUAACUCCGUGCCAGCAGCCGCGGUAAUACGGAGGGUGCAAGCGUUGUUCGGAUUACUGGGCGUAAAGCGCGCGCAGGCGGAUCAGUCAGUCAGAUGUGAAUCUCGGGGCUCACCUCGAAACUGCGUCUGAAACUUCUGAUCUAGAGUAUCACAGGGGGUAGGGGAAUUUCACGUGUAGGGGUAAAUCCGUAGAGAUGUGAAGGACACCGGUGGCGAAGCGCUACUGGAUGAUACUGACGCUGAGCGCG